Molecule: ribosomal RNA, 621 nt
Filed under: uncultured Alphaproteobacteria bacterium
Lineage: Bacteria; Pseudomonadati; Pseudomonadota; Alphaproteobacteria
Description: bacterial SSU rRNA
Rfam family: Bacterial small subunit ribosomal RNA
Source: RNAcentral
GGCGGACGGGUGAGUAACGCGUGGGAACGUGCCCUUUGGUUCGGAACAACACAGGGAAACUUGUGCUAAUACCGGAUGAGCCCUUCGGGGGAAAGAUUUAUCGCCAUUGGAGCGGCCCGCGUUGGAUUAGGUAGUUGGUGGGGUAAAGGCCCACCAAGCCGACGAUCCAUAGCUGGUCUGAGAGGAUGAUCAGCCACACUGGGACUGAGACACGGCCCAGACUCCUACGGGAGGCAGCAGUGGGGAAUCUUGCGCAAUGGGCGAAAGCCUGACGCAGCCAUGCCGCGUGUAUGAUGAAGGUCUUAGGAUUGUAAAAUACUUUCACCGGGGAAGAUAAUGACGGUACCCGGAGAAGAAGCCCCGGCUAACUUCGUGCCAGCAGCCGCGGUAAUACGAAGGGGGCUAGCGUUGCUCGGAAUUACUGGGCGUAAAGGGCGCGUAGGCGGACAGUUUAGUCAGAGGUGAAAGCCCAGGGCUCAACCUUGGAAUUGCCUUUGAUACUGGCUGUCUUGAGUUCGGGAGAGGUGAGUGGAAUGCCGAGUGUAGAGGUGAAAUUCGUAGAUAUUCGGCGGAACACCAGUGGCGAAGGCGACUCACUGGCCCGAUACUGACGCUGAGGCG